AGCCCAUGAUGAGGACAACCCAACUCCAUGUCCUUGAAUCGCUCCCAUGCAUCAUAAAAAUUCUCAUUAUCUUCUUGAAAGAACUUGGUCGAGCUAUCCCGCAUGUAGGC
This is a small nucleolar RNA of Argentina anserina (silverweed cinquefoil), 110 nucleotides long. Lineage: Eukaryota; Viridiplantae; Streptophyta; Magnoliopsida; Rosales; Rosaceae. The record is from RefSeq and is a predicted model, not a curated record.